GAAGGGACCUAGCGUAGUUCGGAAUUACUGGGCUUAAAGAGUUCGUAGGUGGUUAAAAAAGUUGGUGGUGAAAUCCCAGAGCUUAACUCUGGAACUGCCAUCAAAACUUUUUAGCUAGAGUAUGAUAGAGGAAAGCAGAAUUUCUAGUGUAGAGGUGAAAUUCGUAGAUAUUAGAAAGAAUACCAAUUGCGAAGGCAGCUUUCUGGAUCAUUACUGACGCUGAGGAACGAAAGCAUGGGUAGCGAAGAGGAUUAGAUACCCUCGUAGUCCAUGCCGUAAACGAUGUGUGUUAGACGUUGGAAAUUUAUUUUCAGUGUCGCAGCGAAAGCAUUAAACACACCGCCUGGGGAGUACGACCGCAAGGUUAAAACUCAAAUGAAUUGACGGGGACCCGCACAAGUAGUGGAGCAUGUGGUUUAAUUCGAAGAUACGCGCAGAACCUUACCAACACUUGACAUGUUCGUCGCGACUUUAAGAGAUUAAAGUUUUCGGUUCGGCCGGACGAAACACAGGUGCUGCAUGGCUGUCGUCAGCUCGUGUCGUGAGAUGUUGGGUUAAGUCCCGCAACGAGCGCAACCCUCACUUUUAGUUGCCAUCAUUAAGUUGGGCACUCUGAAAGAACUGCCAGUGAUAAGCUGGAGGAAGGUGGGGAUGACGUCAAGUCCUCAUGGCCCUUACGUGUUGGGCUACACACGUGCUACAAUGGUAUUUACAAAAGGAAGCAAGACGGCGACGUUUAGCAAAUCCUUAAAAAAUACCUCAGUUCGGAUUGCACUCUGCAACUCGAGUGCAUGAAGCUGGAAUUACUAGUAAUCGUGGAUCAGCGUGCCACGGUGAAUGCGUUCCCGGGUCUU
This 854-nucleotide ribosomal RNA is filed under the name uncultured Alphaproteobacteria bacterium. RNAcentral's name for it is "bacterial SSU rRNA". It matches the Rfam family "Bacterial small subunit ribosomal RNA", at positions 527 to 1382 of the family's 1533-position model. Lineage: Bacteria; Pseudomonadati; Pseudomonadota; Alphaproteobacteria. The record is from RNAcentral.